CCAAAACCACAGCCACCACUAGCCCAACCCCAAAACCACCUUUUAAAAUAAAAAACCCACCAAACCCAAAACCACCUUCAAUAAUCGAAAGGGAAACCGAGAUCGGGACGGAACCCACCAGCGCCAGACCCUCCCUCUCCCCUGAACCACCGCGCCGACGACAGCCAUCCCAACCCCAAUGGUGGGAUUUCGAAAAAUCGAAACCAAUUGAAUUGAAACAAUUGACCCAGAAGAAGGUCGGAAUCUGGACGGGGAAGGGGGCAAGGUGAAGAGGAGGGAGGAGUGUGGUUGUUUGGCGGCCGGAAAUGCGACGGGAAGCGGCGAGGUGAAGAGGAGGGAGGCGAACGUGCCUGGGUUGGUGAUUCGUGGAAUCGCGACGGGGAAGGGGCGAGGUGAAGAGGAGGGAGGCGUGGUGGUUUCCUGGAAUCGUGGGUGAGGGAGGGGCGGGGUUGGUGAUUCAGGUGGUUCGGGGAGGGGGAGGGUCUGCGCUGUCGGCGGCGACGUGGGAUGGUGGCAGGGUGGUCGGAGACGCGGGGCAGGGAACGGAGUCAGGGGCGUGGGGAUGGUGGCUGGAAUGGGUGGGUUUGGUUUUUUUAUUAUUAUUUUUUUUUUCUUUAAAAAAAAUCUAAUUUUUUAAAAAAAUUAUUUUAUUUUAUUUUUAAUUUUUUGACCAAUCACAAGCCGCCACGUGUCAUAUAACCUGUUAUAACAGGUUACAUGUAACAGGUUACAUGACCGGUUGGAACUAUUUUCAGCAGAUUGAUAUCAGAGGUAGGAUUAUUAAAAAGAAUUCCAAAAGUGGGAUUAUUAAUCUCCGAUAUUCAAAAGGUGGGAUUAUUCCAAUCAAUUUUUCCAAAAACUUAUGCUAAUAAUGGCCAAUGAGACUUAAAAAGGAACCGAUGAAGUUAAACGUGAUUUAGACAUUUCAAUCAAGUAAUAUCCUAGUAUAGUACAUGUGUUUUGGAAGCUAGCACUUUAUUAUGAUUUAAAGAGAAUAAGAGAUAGUGCAAGAGUAGUAAGAUAUUAUCAAAAGCGUGGAUAAGUAGAAAGAGGCCAAGAAUGAACGGCACAUCAUCAACAGCUCCUCUUAUCGCCCAAAGGGCAGUCAACGCGCGCGUUGCACGCGGAAUGGCUUGUCCUUGCAACAAUUUUACUUGUCUUGUGUUUGCACUUCACAUGGAGGAAUAAAAGACCGGUAAAGGAAUAUAUUUCUAUUGUUUAGGCAUUGUUUGUUUAUAGUCGUCCUAAGUUGAAUGUUACGCGUGAAAUAUCUUGUAUAUUGAAAAAAAUCUUUAUUUUUAUUAUUUGUAUAUGGUGAUUUUUUUAAUUGGAGUACUAUGUAGAGUUACAGUAGAAUAUAAUUAUUAGGUUUUUCAAUGA
Long non-coding RNA from Chenopodium quinoa (quinoa), 1380 nucleotides. RefSeq lists it as uncharacterized. Lineage: Eukaryota; Viridiplantae; Streptophyta; Magnoliopsida; Caryophyllales; Amaranthaceae. The record is from RefSeq and is a predicted model, not a curated record. The transcript has 2 exons.